This 950-nucleotide small RNA is filed under the name Histoplasma ohiense. RNAcentral's name for it is "hypothetical lncRNA". The record is from RNAcentral. Lineage: Eukaryota; Fungi; Ascomycota; Eurotiomycetes; Onygenales; Ajellomycetaceae.
CGCUGCUAAUCUAUCGCUGCCAACCUAUCUACCGCGGCGAAUCUAUCUAUCACUGCCAAUUUAUCUACCACUGCCAAUCUAUCUAUCGCUGCCAAUCUAUUGCUGCUAAUCUAUCGCUGCUAAUCUAUCGCUGCUGCCAAUCUAUCUAUCGCUGCUAAUCUAUCGCCGCUGCCAAUCUAUCCCUCACUGCUAAGCUAUCCCUCGCUGCUAAGCUAUCCCUCACUGCUAAGCUAUCCCUCGCUGCUAAGCUAUCCCUCGCUGCUAAGCUAUCCCUCACUGCUAAGCUAUCCCUCGCUGCUAAGCUAUCCCUCGCUGCUAAGCUAUCCCUCACUGCUAAGCUAUCCCUCGCUGCUAAGCUAUCCCUCACUGCUAAGCUAUCCCUCGCUGCUAAGCUAUCCCUCACUACUAAGCUAUCUAUCACUGCUAAUCUAUCGCUGCCAAUCUAUCUAUCACUGCCAAUCUAUCUAUCACUGCUAAUCUAUCGCUGCUAAUCUAUUGCUGCUAAUCUAUUGCUGCUGCCAAUCUAUCUAUCACUGCUAAUCUAUUGCUGCUAAUCUAUCACUGCUAAUCUAUCGCUGCUAAUCUAUCGCUGCUAAUCUAUUGCUGCUAAUCUAUUGCUGCUAAUCUAUCGCUGCCAACCUAUCUACCGCGGCGAAUCUAUCUAUUGCUGCCAAUCAACCUACCACUGCCAACCUAUCUAUUGCUGCCAAUCUAUCGCUGCCAACCUAUCUACUGCAGUGAAUCUAUCUAUCACUAUCAUUACUAGUUCAAAAUAGAACUAGAGCAUAAAUACACUAAACUUCUUUUGAUAGAUAAUGAUUUUUGAUAACACUCAUAGCAUUAUAUCAUCUAUAUAGGGUAAAUCAUGGUCCCAUUUGGUCCCAUUUUAACAAAAUGGGACCAAAUGGGACCAGAAUCAGUAAUUUAUAAGAAGAACAUGACCUGGGACU